GAGACUGGGCUCAAACCCUGCAGUGACUCAAUCUGCUCCAGAAACCAGUCAGGACACGGUUGAUCCUGAAGUUGGUGUUUCCUACGCCUCCGUCAGCUACACCAAGAAGACCAACAGUAAAGCUCGGGUUCGGGUUGAAGAUGAUGUUGAUGGUGAAGGUGAUGCAGUGACCUACAGCACUGUGAAAGUUUCCCCCUCUUCUGCUGAAGCCUCCACUGAUCCCAGCAACAUCUAUGCUUCCAUCAACGACAAUCCCAACAAAUAAUAGACCACAGUGUUCAUAUCUUUACAUUGUGUUGUACAACAGAUUUACAGAGUUGCCUAUU
Scomber scombrus (Atlantic mackerel) is the source of this 326-nucleotide long non-coding RNA. RefSeq lists it as uncharacterized. The transcript has 3 exons. Lineage: Eukaryota; Metazoa; Chordata; Actinopteri; Scombriformes; Scombridae. The record is from RefSeq and is a predicted model, not a curated record.